GACGACGCUGGCGGCGUGCCUAAUACAUGCAAGUAGAACGAGUUGCGAACGGGUGAGUAACGCGUGGUAACCUGCCUCAUAGCGGGGGAUAACUAUUGGAAACGGUAGCUAAUACCGCAUACCAUCAGAUGUGCCCAGAUGGGAUUAGCUAGGAGGUGGGGUAGGGCUCACCUAGGCGACGAUCCCUAGCUGGUAUGAGAGGAUGACCAGCAACACUGGAACUGAGACACGGUCCAGACUCCUACGUGAGGCAGCAGUGGGGAAUAUUGCACAAUGGGCGCAAGCCUGAUGCAGCCAUUCCGCGUGUGUGAAGAAGGCCUUCGGGUUGUAAAGCACUUUCAGCGAGGAGGCGUUACUCGCAGAAGAAGCACCGGCUAACUCCGUGCCAGCAGCCGCGGUAAUUC
Molecule: ribosomal RNA, 404 nt
Filed under: uncultured bacterium
Lineage: Bacteria
Description: partial 16S ribosomal RNA
Rfam family: Bacterial small subunit ribosomal RNA
Source: RNAcentral